Molecule: ribosomal RNA, 683 nt
Filed under: uncultured Basidiomycota
Lineage: Eukaryota; Fungi; Basidiomycota
Description: eukaryotic LSU rRNA
Rfam family: 5.8S ribosomal RNA (bases 237-389)
Source: RNAcentral
CUUGGUCAUUUAGAGGAAGUAAAAGUCGUAACAAGGUUUCCGUAGGUGAACCUGCGGAAGGAUCAUUAGUGAAUUAAACAUGCUUGGUGUCUUCGCUUCGGCAAGGCCCUUGCUUAAAUCACAUCCUAACACCUGUGAACUGUAAGACGUAUGAUGAGGUCUUUGGCCAAGUCAUCGUCUGCCCUUUUUUAACAAACAAUUAAUGUAACAAACGUAGUCUUAUUAUAACCUAAUAAAACUUUCAACAACGGAUCUCUUGGCUCUCGCAUCGAUGAAGAACGCAGCGAAAUGCGAUAAGUAAUGUGAAUUGCAGAAUUCAGUGAAUCAUCGAAUCUUUGAACGCACCUUGCGCUCUUGGUAUUCCGAAGAGCAUGCCUGUUUGAGUGUCAUGAAAAUAUCAACCUUGACUUGGGUUUUGUGCUCUAGUCUUGGCUUGGAAUUGGGUGCUUGCCGCUUUUACGAGCGGCUCACCUUAAAUGUAUUAGCUGGAUCUGUCUUUGAGACUUGGUUUGACUUGGCGUAAUAAGUAUUUCGCUAAGGACAUUCUUCGGAGUGGCCUCGUUUCUAGGACGCUUGUCCGCUUCCCAAUACAAGUUCCACCUCGUGGACAUGACUUUUUUAUUAUCUGGCCUCAAAUCAGGUAGGACUACCCGCUGAACUUAAGCAUAUCAAUAAGCGGAGGA